Molecule: long non-coding RNA, 251 nt
Organism: Mesocricetus auratus (golden hamster)
Lineage: Eukaryota; Metazoa; Chordata; Mammalia; Rodentia; Cricetidae
Exons: 3
Source: RefSeq, a predicted model, not a curated record
AAAGGAGAGUUGCUCGGACUGCCGCGCAGGGGUGGAGUCUGCGCUGGGGCUGAGGAUUUUGUCCCGGAGCCAGUUCCUCAUUUAGAUCUAUCAUCAAACCAUUUCAAGGAUAUGAUAUGGAUUAUCAAGAUAACAGCAAUUAUGGCUAAGAGUGUUUAUGUCCCAGAAAUAGCUUCCAGAGAUCCAUCUGCUCAGUGUGAACACCUCCCUGUGGUGAUACCAGUAACAAAGCCAGAGUCUAUGUCACAAUG